GUCGAACGCACCUUCGGGUGAGUGGCAGACGGGUGAGUAACACGUGGGAACCUUCCCAAUAGUACGGAAUAACUCCGGGAAACCGGUGCUAAUACCGUAUACGCCCUCAGGGGGAAAGAUUUAUCGCUAUUGGAUGGGCCCGCGUCGGAUUAGCUAGUUGGUGAGGUAAUGGCUCACCAAGGCGACGAUCCGUAGCUGGUCUGAGAGGAUGAUCAGCCACACUGGGACUGAGACACGGCCCAGACUCCUACGGGAGGCAGCAGUAGGGAAUCUUGGACAAUGGGCGAAAGCCUGAUCCAGCCAUGCCGCGUGAGUGAAGAAGGCCCUAGGGUUGUAAAGCUCUUUUGGCGGGGACGAUAAUGACGGUACCCGCAGAAUAAGCCCCGGCUAACUUCGUGCCAGCAGCCGCGGUAAUACGAAGGGGGCUAGCGUUGUUCGGAAUUACUGGGCGUAAAGCGCACGCAGGCGGAUUUAUAAGUCAGGGGUGAAAUCCCGGGGCUCAACCUCGGAAUUGCCUUUGAUACUGUCUAU
This 531-nucleotide ribosomal RNA is filed under the name uncultured bacterium. Its description in RNAcentral is "bacterial SSU rRNA". It matches the Rfam family "Bacterial small subunit ribosomal RNA", at positions 61 to 640 of the family's 1533-position model. The record is from RNAcentral.